Oreochromis niloticus (Nile tilapia) is the source of this 2489-nucleotide long non-coding RNA. RefSeq lists it as uncharacterized. The record is from RefSeq and is a predicted model, not a curated record. NCBI's taxonomy places the organism in Eukaryota, Metazoa, Chordata, Actinopteri, Cichliformes, Cichlidae. The transcript is spliced from 3 exons.
AAUCAGUCACAGGACAUGCACACACAGAGGGCGGUCACUAUUGAACCUAGUGGAUUAUGCAACCGUAGCAAAUACAAAAGUAUGCAACAGCAGUAUUUAAGUCAUUAAAAUGAUAACGUGAAAUUAUCCAGUAAUACACGGUGUAUGAUUCUGUGUAACACGAACUUUCACUUUAGAUAUCUUAAAUAUAUUUUGAUGGUAAAACUUUUGUACUAUAAUCACUUUUACUUAUAUAAAGGGUCUUCACAAUGACUACUUCACCUGCAUUCUUACUAACGGCCAGCAGGGGGCAACUCUUGUGGUUGCAAAAGGUUCCAGUUGUAGUCAGCAUCUUUCAUGCUAACUCCAGGUGAGCGCAACAAUCUCCUAGCCACCAAAGCAAUAACAAAGAGGCUUUUGUGCACAGCAUCCUCUUUGCGACUGAUUUCACCUACUGUAGCAACAGCCAAGCGACCUCUGGGAACUACUCACCAACCACUCUGGGAAUACACAUUUUUCCUUGCAAACAGUGGCUAUAUCAUAUCCAACAUCAUCCGAGAUAAUACUGGUAUACAUUUUUUUACUGAUAUCACACACUCACUUCCUAUUUACAGAAAGUAUUGAAUAAAAUAUUGACUCCAUUUAGUAAGUUGACUUUUUCAGAAUAUACUAAUUGCUCAACACAAUCACAAGGCUUUAGCCAAUGAGCAUGUGGUUCACAGAGAGAGCCACUUCUUAUUAGUGUUGCGCAAUACUGCAGAUUUUAAGUAAAUACAGGGCCAGUAUCGCUGUUACCAAUACCAAUACUUUUAACUUAUAACAUCAACUUAUGUAGAGAAGAGUGGUGUGUCAUGACUUAUGAGAUGAAUCACUAUCAAUUUGCAAAUUCUGAAUACAUUUUAUUAACCACAGUAAUUAGAUAACACAACAAAACACACAUUUCAGCUUUUUGUGUAUCUUGAAACUGUGUUUUUUGGAGACCUGGAACGUAAUGCCUUUUUGCCCCACUAGUACCUACUGGGCUCAGCAUGGCUCAACUCAAUUCGGUUUUUAGGUGGUACUCAGUUGUAACUGAAAACAGCUGAAACUGAGUAGAGUUGAGUCAAAUUGGUACUAGUGGAAAAGAGGCACAAGUGUGCCUGUCUCAAAAAGACUUCUGUUGUUUAAAUGGGUUAUAGAGAAUAAAUAAAAUAGACAUAAAAGUCUGUUUUAUCCUUUCCCCCCAAAAAUCAUUUAAUACAGUUCAAUGGACUACAUAAUGAAUUUAGAUCAUAGAAACUAAGAAUCAAUUCUAUCGCACUAGUAUCGAUACCAAAACCGGUGCUGGUAUCGAUACUACCAAUAUCUGGAUAGACACCCCCCCCACCACCUCUCAAUUGUCACCUCUGGUUCCAAAAGACCAACAUGUCAACAGUAAUAAUGCUCAACUCAUUGUAACUACAUUAAUCUUUGAGUCUGUCUAAUUUAAACUCUCAUGCAGUGCCACUUUUCAUGUAACACAUCUGAUGUAGAAAAUAGGACCCCCCACCCACCCACCGACUUCCUAGUCUCCAAAUGUGGCACCCCAUUUUUUUAAUUGUAUAAACACCCCUGUAUGGUUUUAUGUGACUUUAAAUCUGCAUAAAAUCUGCUCCUCCCGCUUGUUAUAAGCAUGCAGAGGUGUAACAAAAGAUGGGUAAGGUCAGCAUAUGGUUGGUUAGGCUGACUCAAAAAAAUAUUUUAGUGAGGAUGUCAGGGCCCUGAGGAGGUAUGCGGGGGCCUAAAAACCUUAUGAGGCUCUGAAAAGUUCCCAGCUCCCGACUUCAACAUCGUCGAAAAAGCGGCAGUUUGCGGUCCAAAGCGCUCUCGCCGUCCCUGUCACCGUUUAUAAAGACAGACUGACGUGUUUCGCUAACGCAGCAAGAAAUCUAACGGCUCGCUGGCUCCAAUGAUGACGUAAUGGCUGAUAAACUGUCAGAGCCGUUAUAAAGUAAAGAUUUAGCUUAAUCUAUUAAGAACUACAAAAAACAUGCGAGAGGACAUACUCAAAAUGACUGCCGGCCGAUGAGUUUCGCAGCAGACUAAAGGAAUUUGCCCCAAAACGGAUCAACAAAAAACAUCAACCACUUACCCCUAAAAGGCAAACCUUGAGCUCCCUUAUAGCCAUGGUAAGUUUUGGAAAGUUUUUAAAUCAUCAUUUGUCAGUGUACACUCAAUGUAUUUGUUUCUUCAUGCUUGAAACUCUAUUAUUUUCCCCUCUUCUUGGAUAAAAUAGAAACCCAGCCCCUGAUACAGACAGACAUCUCCACUAAGCGGCUGACAAGGCGCAUAAAAUAAAUUUACAACAUCCGGGAGUGACUUUCAAAAUAAAGGCUUUGAUGGAUCCUUAGCCGCCUUUCCGUUGGUUGUGGCAGCAGCUGCAUCGGCGGUAGGAGCCACGGCAGCAACGGAGCGCUUGGUUUGCUCCUCGCCGCGGGCCUCCGGGCUCGGCUGCGUGGGUGGAGCCUGCUCGGCUGGCGGCUGGACGGUCA